UACGAAGGGGACUAGCGUUGUUCGGAUUUACUGGGCGUAAAGCGCGCGUAGGCGGAUCACUUAGUCAGGGGUGAAAUCCCGAGGCUUAACCUCGGAACUGCCUUUGAUACUGGUGAUCUGGAGAUCGGGAGAGGUUGGUGGAAUUCCGAGUGUAGAGGUGAAAUUCGUAGAUAUUCGGAGGAACACCAGAAGCGAAGGCGGCCAACUGGCCCGAUACUGACGCUGAGGCGCGAAAGCGUGGGGAGCAAACAGG
This 253-nucleotide ribosomal RNA is filed under the name uncultured bacterium. Its description in RNAcentral is "partial 16S ribosomal RNA". It matches the Rfam family "Bacterial small subunit ribosomal RNA", at positions 524 to 776 of the family's 1533-position model. The record is from RNAcentral.